Castor canadensis (American beaver) is the source of this 168-nucleotide long non-coding RNA. RefSeq lists it as uncharacterized. The record is from RefSeq and is a predicted model, not a curated record. Lineage: Eukaryota; Metazoa; Chordata; Mammalia; Rodentia; Castoridae.
AAGCACCAGAAGAGUGUUUGGUGUGUGGACAGCUGGAGCACACUUGCUCUGGAACCUACUAUCAAGGAAUCUUGCCACAUUUCUGAGACUUCACAGCUCCUGAAGAGGGCUACGGAUGAAACCCCAGACCUUGCAUGUGCUAAUGACUGCAUUUUAAAAAGGAAGAAG